GUCGAUGAAGCUGCCGGGGCGGUACGAGGGUGUCCCCCGGGGGUCGUCAGCUGUUGGUCACGUGACGGCUUCACUCCGUGGCCGCAGCCGCGGCUGGCAGCUCACGUCACUCCAUGGGUUCCCACCUGGGCCGCCUCCUCGGACGACUGCUACGGGGACCCAGCGUUGCCGCUGCGCCCGAGCCUGUCCACGAGAAAGGCGGCCUGUCCACCUUGAUACACAUGUCGGCUCUGCGCCCGCUUGUCAUAUGUGGGCCAUCCGGUAGUGGGAAAUCGACACUGCUCAAGAAGCUGCUGAAAGACUUCGGCGAUUAUUUCGCCUUGAGUGUGUCGCAUACCACCCGAAAACCCAGGCCCGGUGAAGUGAAUGGCAAAGACUACCAUUUCAUAUCGCGGGACGAAAUGGAACAGGCAAUCGAGGCGGGUGAAUUCAUCGAGUACACGGAGUUUUCGGGAAACUUGUAUGGCACAAGUAAGAAAUCCGUACGUGAUGUCCAAGAGCAAGGGCGAAUCUGCAUCCUCGACAUUGAAAUUGAGGGUGUGAAGAACAUCAAGAACACAGAUCUGAAUCCCCGCUACAUCUUCAUCAAGCCUCCAAGCAUGAAGGCCCUUGAAGAACGGCUCAGGGGUCGGGGCACUGAAACCGAGGAGAGCUUGCAUAGACGCCUGGCAAGAGCUAGUGAGGAGAUUGCCUAUGGCGAAAACCAGGGCAACUUUGACCUUCUGCUAGUCAAUGACAACCUCAAGAGUGCGUACAACAGACUCCGAGAUUACCUUAUAAAGGAGGCAUUCACCAAGCUGCCAGAGUUUGUGACCAUCAGUGAGGAUUCAGCACCAUCCUUAUGAUCUGAUGGAUGCCAACACCUGAAGGACAGUUUGUGUGGAAUAGAGUACGCGACCCCAAAAGCUGCCAACGCAGCAGAACAUUUUACACUUUCUCAGAGAAAGUGAACUGUUCCCGCUGUGGCUUCAGAACCAAAAGAACUGUCCACUUGUGUGUAACUGUGAUUUUCCACAAUUGUAAUGCUUAGGUAUGUUGGCAUUGCUUCUGCAUUACCAAACUUGUCAUGUCGCUCUCACUGGUGAUAUUGUGAACUGCCAGAUGGGUCGGACCACUCCUUCUGUUUUUAUGUACUUGUCACAAAAAAUUGUUCGCUUUUUACCAUUGACCCUACUCAUUGUAAGAUAUGAGCAAAGCUUGUUUGUUAUCUGCAUUAUGAGUCUGGUAAAACAUUUAUUUAUUUUUUUUCCAUCGUGCACUGGCUUAGUGCUGUAAUAUUGUUCUGCUCUUGCAACUUGUUCAUCUAUCUGCACAUCAUCGCUUGUAUUUGUUGCUUUUCUCGUUUCACUUUCUGCUUCUCUGUUGCUGUGUCGUUGCUACAUGUUCAGACGUGUAUGAACAAAAUAAAUAUUUAAAUGUGUCACGAUGAAAAUUUGAUUUUGUCUUUGCGUCCAGUCAUUUAAAAUUGCACAGGGCAGUUGUGCACUUUGUACUCUUGACUACCAUGAUUGGUUUAAGCACUCCUGGCUUGCAGAGCAGUUACAGUUUGUACCCAACUGGCGGACUUGACGCACUUUAGCUGCUUGCUUAGCAGUUUUUUUUUUUCCCCUCUUCAUCUUGCAGUAAUUAUGCUUCCUGGCUUGGUCGAAACAUUUCCAAGGCUGACCUCAUGUUAAGUUAUAUGCACAGUAUUGUUUCAUUCAUGUGACGUGUGCAGCGGCACUUGUCUACCAUUUGGAGGACAGUGUUGGACUUUCUUCAUAAAAGAAGCUUUGUGAAGACAGCCUAUCGAAGUGCCAGUUGUACUGACGACACAAGCAGUUGUGGAAUCAUUGGUGCACAUUUACUAAGUUGUCUGCAUUUUUCUGGUAGCUGGCUAGGUUUCGGACAACUUGAUGUUCACUGGUCCUUCAGUUCACCGCCUUGCACAAGUGUCUAGUCUGCUUUUGCUAGUUUGUCUCCAGCAAAUAGAAUAAUCUGUGGGUUAUCCAGAUAAGUGUGGCUACUUAUAUAGAGCAUUCCAAUACACUGUAUACUAAAUCCAGUACACAUUGUGAUAGUAUAGACAUUUUCACAGAAGGCUCUCUGGCCACUGCCAUAAUCCACUUUGGGCAAAGCUAAAUAGGCGUAACCCCCCAAAAAUGCACUGCCGAGGCUGUGACAUCAGCCUUUGUACUCCCGUGCCACAGCCCAGAGAGAUGUUUCUUCUCUCCUGUGAAAAUUUCUAUAGCUGGGUAUAAAUAGGAAGAGCAUGGCAGCACUGAUUUGAAAGGGCCUAUUUUCUUGGCAUCCCCUCUCAAAUCAUUCUAGUAAGCCAAAUUUGGCAGUUCUGGCAAAUGCCACUGCAGCACAUUGACAGCUUGUGAAUGCUUCCUUUGUACACUUGAAUCCCAUACUAUGAAAUGAUCUGUGCAGCAGUUCAUCUCUACAUUCUGUAGUGUUCAGGUUAAUAAAGUAGUGCAAUAUUUCGUGGUAAAGCAACAUUAUAACAAAAAAAAUCAAUAGGUAGGCUAGUUGGUGCUGUAUUAACGGGCCCUGCAAUACCUUUUCAUGGUCGGAAAACGCUGCCAAUCGGUGGUCAAGGCUCCUGAAAACACGCGAGCCAAACAUUACACAGCACGCGGCGUGGAAUUUACAAUCGAGUCUCAGUCUGUUGGAAACCGCUCUUUUCUCUACAAAGGAUGCCAUAUACCCAAAUUGCUGCACCAUAUACCCAGUGUCCACAGCUGUUGGCUGAUUUGAGCAUCAUGAGCUGCAUAGUUACCGUGGCCGCCGCAAGAUGCUGCCACAUGCCCGCCUGCGCGUUCGCGAUCACACUGAAAGUAAGCUGCGCGUUCAAAGAAAAAAUGCAAAGAACAUACUCAAGGUCAUGAAGCACACUGACGAAGGGACGCAUCUUCUUGUCCCCUUGUCAUCCCCUCCCUGCGUAGCUUUCAGUGUGCUCGCUGGUACAAAAAGAAAGCGCUUGAAGCAUGCGGCAAAUCCCUGUAACUCCACUCAUACUUGACGGAUUCUAAAAAUUUUUGUUGCAGUCGAUUCAUGAGGUAAUAAGCUUUUAAUGAAGCCAUUAUAUGAUUACUUGGAAAAGUGUUGCAGGGCCCCUUGAAAGAGCUCGUUUUCGCGGAAAUUCUGGUGUUGGUGUUGUUGGUUGUGAGCGGAAAAUCAGCGUUGUCCGUGAGCAAAAAGUCGAGAGAUGCAAAUAAAAUAAGAAUUUUCGGUUCGAGUCAGAACAGGACCCAGGCCUUCUGAGCGGCAAGCAGGUGUACCACAGAGCCACACCAUUGCUUGAAACUACUUCUGAAAAAAACGCUAUAUGAAUGUCAUGUAGUGGGAGGAGCCUCCUCAACACGUGUAAUAUUGCGUGGCAGAAACGUAGAAUCGCGCCAGAGGUCAAGACAUGUGAAUUGUGCAAAGAGUGGCUGUUUUAAAAGGCCCACUCAUUUCAAAGCUUUCGGACAUAUUUAAUCAUCAUCAGCAGCAAGCUCGCCAAAAGUGGGCAGCUGCGUCGGUUCACGUGUUGCCUUAGGGGAGUUUUUGAAACCAUCUGAAGCUUUUGGUGUCAACGCUCCCUUAAUCUCGCAGUGGCAAAUAACCUAGUGGCUGCUAGACAUCCCCUGUGAACGUGAUGAUUUAAUAUGCGUGAUUGCCCGAGCUCUAUGUUCUGUAUAUGUACAUGAUUCAGUAAAAAGCUUAUAGGAAUAGUACCACUCUUCACAAGAGUGUGUGCAGCAGGCAUUACUGAAAUAGGCUGCAGGGAGCAGGUGGCCCCGGCACCAUGAAAACAUUGUAUAGGCGUUUGUGAAUGAAUAAAUGCAUUGUGUUAAAGGGCCACUCACCAGGCCAACAAAUAAGCUCAUGAGACGCAGUGGCGAUCGAUUAUGUCUGCUAAGUAUGCAACUGCUGUGUGGCGUGAAGCCGACUGAAAUUUCAAACAGAUAUUGCCACUCUUUUUGAGGAAGCCACGCCUUGAGGCCACAGUAAGAAAUGCACUAUGCAAGAUGCACUGAUUGUUAUGUCGCUGACCAUAGCAUGCGACUUCAGUUCAUCAUUUGAUUCAUUCCAAACAAUGCCACCACUUGAAAUGUGCCGUGAAGCAAAAUAGAAAAAGGAAAACAAACAGAAUGCAGGACUUGUCACGUGAACAUGAUGCGUUCCCUCUGCUUUGGUACUUGAGAGAACUCAGAAAAGGAAAGCUGCUUGCAGAUGCUAGCCAUGGCAGAGUGAGAGAGCUUUUGCUGACGGUUGCACUUGCCUCUUAGAGGCUAGGUAACGGGACCAUUAAAUUUCUCCUAACUCCUACAAUAAUGAACCAAUUUGAAAAUUAUUAUGAUAAAGAGCGCUCUAGAGGGCUUCUAAUGUGCGACCAAAUUAAUGAGGUUGGUAAGGAGCCCUGUAAAAAACCAUAAAAUAAACAUGUAAUCUUUAGACGAUGUAUUGCAGUGUUAAGAAUGUGUUUUGUUGCAGGUAUAAAUAAAAUUGUUAGUUUGUGAGAAUGCAUACAUAAAACAUGAAAUCCAGUCUACACAGUAUAGGUAUUGUCAUGUUUGUACCUUCUUUGUUCUCUUCUCCCUCCCCCGCUCUGUGUUCUGCAUUUAAAGGGGCCCUGCAACACUUUUCCAAGUAGCCAUUGAAUGGCUUGACUAAAGGAACUUAUUGCCUCACGAAUCAAACGCCGCAGAAAUUUUUAGAAUCCGUCCAGUACGAGCGGAGUUAGUUUUGUCUCACGCUGUAAUUGCUUUCUCUUUUCUCUCGCCCCGAAGAAAGCGCUGGAAGCUAAGCGGGAGGGGGGGGGGCAUGGGGAAAGAACGUACAUCACGCGCGCCUCCUGACUUUGAGCACAUUUUCUUUUCUUUUUGUUUUGUCUUCGAACGCUUGGUGUAUUUCAGUGCAAUCGCGUGCGCACACAUAGUCGAGUGGCGGCCUCUCGCAGCGGCCACAGUAACAACCGAGCGCGCUAUCUUCAAAUCAGCCAAUGGCAUGGAAACUGCCUGUGGCGCUGUAAGCAUAAUUUUUUGUCGAGAGAACAGGAAGCGCUUUUUAGCUGACUUUGCAAAUUUAUUGUAAAUCCCAGGCCGCGUGCUGUGCUAUAAUGUUUGGCUCGCGUGUUAUUGGGAGCCUCAACUAGCAAUCGGCAGCGUUUUCUGACCAUGCUGAAAAAGUGUUGCAGGGCCCCUUUAAUUGUGUUGCCAGAAGUGAAGUCUGAUGCAGUAGCUUUUAGCUGUGGUUGUUUCUAUGGCAGUUAUGUAGGCACACAUUAUGCCUUUUACAUCAUUAUCCUUGUUUUUUGGCUUCCUGUUAUAAUUUUAUUGACCCAUAACUGCAGCUGACAUGAGAUCAUCCAAUGCAUGUCAGUGUUGUGGAGCAUGCUUAAUAAUGCUGAGACAAUGUAAUGCAUGGGGACUAAUUGCCCUACAAACUUUUGUGCUUGUCUGAUUUUGGGGAAUGUUCUUUUUCCAACACUUGCACUUGCAUGUCUUGGAGCACCUUGAUUGAAACGGAACUUUUUUUUUUUUUUUAUGGUAUAGGAGUACAGUAUGGGUUUCUCUAUUAUCCAGGAAGUGGAGGAGCUUCAGAAGAAGCCAAAGAUCUAGUCAC
Molecule: RNA transcript, 5595 nt
Organism: Rhipicephalus sanguineus (brown dog tick)
Lineage: Eukaryota; Metazoa; Arthropoda; Arachnida; Ixodida; Ixodidae
Gene name: guanylate kinase
Exons: 9
Source: RefSeq, a predicted model, not a curated record